This 434-nucleotide ribosomal RNA is filed under the name uncultured bacterium. RNAcentral's name for it is "partial 16S ribosomal RNA". It matches the Rfam family "Bacterial small subunit ribosomal RNA", at positions 29 to 507 of the family's 1533-position model. The record is from RNAcentral.
AGCGAACGCUGGCGGCAGGCCUAACACAUGCAAGUCGAACGAACCUUUCGGGGUUAGUGGCGGACGGGUGAGUAACACGUGGGAACGUGCCUUUAGGUUCGGAAUAACUCAGGGAAACUUGUGCUAAUACCGAAUGUGCCCUUCGGGAGAAAGAUUAAUCGCCUUUAGAGCGGCCCGCGUCUGAUUAGCUAGUUGGUUGAGGUAAUGGCUCACCAAGGCGACGAUCAGUAGCUGGUCUGAGAGGAUGAUCAGCCACAUUGGGACUGAGACACGGCCCAAACUCCUACGGGAGGCAGCAGUGGGGAAUCUUGCGCAAUGGGCGAAAGCCUGACGCAGCCAUGCCGCGUGAAUGAUGAAGGUCUUAGGAUUGUAAAAUUCUUUCACCGGGGACGAUAAUGACGGUAACCGGAGAAGAAGCCCCGGCUAACUUCGUG